Molecule: ribosomal RNA, 253 nt
Filed under: uncultured bacterium
Lineage: Bacteria
Description: partial 16S ribosomal RNA
Rfam family: Bacterial small subunit ribosomal RNA
Source: RNAcentral
UACGUAGGUGGCGAACGUUAUCCGGAGUGACUGGGUGUAAAGGGUCCGUAGGCGGGAGGACAAGUCUGACGUGAAAGCGCCCGGCUCAACUGGGCGAGUGCGUUGGAAACUGUUUUUCUUGAAUCACGCAGAGGUCGGCGGAAUUCCCGGUGUAGUGGUGGAAUGCGUAGAGAUCGGGAGGAACCUCGAAAGCGAAGGCAGCCGACUGGGGGAUGAUUGACGCUGAGGGACGAAAGCGUGGGGAGCGAACAGG